UGACAUGGAUUCUGAGUCAGUUGCUUUAU
This 29-nucleotide non-coding RNA is filed under the name Rattus norvegicus (Norway rat). The record is from RNAcentral. Lineage: Eukaryota; Metazoa; Chordata; Mammalia; Rodentia; Muridae.